GUAGGGAAUAUUGCGCAAUGGACGAAAGUCUGACGCAGCGACGCCGCGUGAGUGAUGAAGGCCUUAGGGUCGUAAAGCUCUGUUGAAUGGGAAGAAAAAAAUGACGGUACCAUUCGAGGAAGGACCGGCUAACUACGUGCCAGCAGCCGCGGUAAUACGAGGGGUCCUAGCGUUGUUCGGAAUCAUUGGGCGUAAAGGGUGUGUAGGUGGCCAUGUAAGUCAGGUGUGAAAGCCCCGGGCUCAACCCGGGAAGUGCACUUGAUACUGCGUGGCUUGAGUACCGAAGAGGGUAGUGGAAUUCCAGGUGUAGUGGUGAAAUACGUAGAUAUCUGGAGGAACACCGGUGGCGAAGGCGGCUACCUGGUCGAGUACUGACACUGAGACACGAAAGCAUGGGGAUCAAACAGGAUUAGAUACCCUGGUAGUCC
This 428-nucleotide ribosomal RNA is filed under the name uncultured bacterium. RNAcentral's name for it is "bacterial SSU rRNA". It matches the Rfam family "Bacterial small subunit ribosomal RNA", at positions 354 to 796 of the family's 1533-position model. The record is from RNAcentral.